RNAcentral lists this ribosomal RNA (1251 nucleotides) under uncultured bacterium. Its description in RNAcentral is "partial 16S ribosomal RNA". The record is from RNAcentral.
GACUCCGACUUCAUGGGGUCGAGUUGCAGACCCCAAUCCGAACUGAGACCGGCUUUUUGGGAUUCGCUCCACCUUACGGUAUCGCAGCCCUCUGUACCGGCCAUUGUAGCAUGCGUGAAGCCCAAGACAUAAGGGGCAUGAUGAUUUGACGUCAUCCCCACCUUCCUCCGAGUUGACCCCGGCAGUCUCCCAUGAGUCCCCGGCAUAACCCGCUGGCAACAUAGGACGAGGGUUGCGCUCGUUGCGGGACUUAACCCAACAUCUCACGACACGAGCUGACGACAACCAUGCACCACCUGUGUACGAGUGUCCAAAGAGAACCCCGUCUCGGGGGCUUUCUCGUACAUGUCAAGCCUUGGUAAGGUUCUUCGCGUUGCAUCGAAUUAAUCCGCAUGCUCCGCCGCUUGUGCGGGCCCCCGUCAAUUCCUUUGAGUUUUAGCCUUGCGGCCGUACUCCCCAGGCGGGGCACUUAAUGCGUUAGCUGCGGCACGGAACUCGUGGAAUGAGCCCCACACCUAGUGCCCAACGUUUACGGCAUGGACUACCAGGGUAUCUAAUCCUGUUCGCUCCCCAUGCUUUCGCUCCUCAGCGUCAGUUGCGGCCCAGAGACCUGCCUUCGCCAUCGGUGUUCCUCCUGAUAUCUGCGCAUUCCACCGCUACACCAGGAAUUCCAGUCUCCCCUACCGCACUCUAGUCUGCCCGUACCCGAUGCAAGCCCGAGGUUGAGCCUCGGGAUUUCACACCAGACGCGACAGACCGCCUACGAGCUCUUUACGCCCAAUAAUUCCGGACAACGCUUGCGCCCUACGUAUUACCGCGGCUGCUGGCACGUAGUUAGCCGGCGCUUCUUCUGCAGGUACCGUCACUUGCGCUUCUUCCCUGCUGAAAGAGGUUUACAACCCGAAGGCCGUCAUCCCUCACGCGGCGUCGCUGCAUCAGGCUUGCGCCCAUUGUGCAAUAUUCCCCACUGCUGCCUCCCGUAGGAGUCUGGGCCGUGUCUCAGUCCCAGUGUGGCCGGUCGCCCUCUCAGGCCGGCUACCCGUCGACGCCUUGGUAGGCCAUCACCCCACCAACAAGCUGAUAGGCCGCGAGCCCAUCCCCCACCGAAAAACUUUCCAACCCACACCAUGCGAUGCGAGCUCAUAUCCGGUAUUAGACCCCGUUUCCAAGGCUUAUCCCGAAGUGGAGGGCAGGUUGCUCACGUGUUACUCACCCGUUCGCCACUGAUCCACCCAGCAAGCUGGGCUUCAC